ACUGCUUUGUACUUUCAAGUUCCAAAUGUAAUUUCUGUUAUUAUCAGCUUAAUUUCUGGUAUGAAUCCCAAGCGGAUUCGUUACGAAAUUUGCAUAAGUUUUUGAAAAAUUAGGCAUUUGGUCGAGUGCUCGCACCACCAUUUGUCGCGGGUCGUCCUGAUAUUACACUACAUUCAGGAACGGCCUAUUCUUU
This 193-nucleotide small nuclear RNA is filed under the name Trichinella nelsoni. Its description in RNAcentral is "U2 spliceosomal RNA". It matches the Rfam family "U2 spliceosomal RNA". Rfam says of the family: U2 is a small nuclear RNA (snRNA) component of the spliceosome (involved in pre-mRNA splicing). Complementary binding between U2 snRNA (in an area lying towards the 5' end but 3' to hairpin I) and the branchpoint sequence (BPS) of the intron results the bulging out of an unpaired adenosine, on the BPS, which initiates a nucleophilic attack at the intronic 5' splice site, thus starting the first of two transesterification reactions that mediate splicing. Lineage: Eukaryota; Metazoa; Nematoda; Enoplea; Trichinellida; Trichinellidae. The record is from Rfam by way of RNAcentral.